This 72-nucleotide transfer RNA is filed under the name Perkinsus olseni. RNAcentral's name for it is "tRNA-Trp". It matches the Rfam family "tRNA". From Rfam's summary of the family: Transfer RNA (tRNA) molecules are approximately 80 nucleotides in length. Their secondary structure includes four short double-helical elements and three loops (D, anti-codon, and T loops). Further hydrogen bonds mediate the characteristic L-shaped molecular structure. tRNAs have two regions of fundamental functional importance: the anti-codon, which is responsible for specific mRNA codon recognition, and the 3' end, to which the tRNAs corresponding amino acid is attached (by aminoacyl-tRNA synthetases). tRNAs cope with the degeneracy of the genetic code in two manners: having more than one tRNA (with a specific anti-codon) for a particular amino acid; and 'wobble' base-pairing, i.e. permitting non-standard base-pairing at the 3rd anti-codon position. Lineage: Eukaryota; Perkinsozoa; Perkinsida; Perkinsidae. The record is from RNAcentral.
GGUCCUGUGGCGCAACGGUAGCCCAUAUGACUCCAGAUCAGAAGGUUGUCCGUUCUAAUCGGGCCAGGGUCA